This 240-nucleotide unclassified non-coding RNA is filed under the name soil metagenome. RNAcentral's name for it is "partial contains 5.8S ribosomal RNA, internal transcribed spacer 2, and large subunit ribosomal RNA". The record is from RNAcentral.
AAGACUAUAGACCUGCGGAGUACCUGCGGAGGGAUCAUUACCUUGGACAGAGGGACCGCCCUAGCGCGUUGUAUGCCAGCGCCUAGGGUGGUCUUGCUGCGCCCAACCGUGUCUUUGGUGGAUUGUCUGUUUCCUCGGCGGGCUUGCUCGCCAAUGGGGACUAACCUAAACACUUUUGUAGUUGUAGUUGUACUGUCAGUUAACAAACCUAUUAAAACUUUCAGCAAUGGAUCUCUAGAU